ACGUAGGGGACAAGCGUUGUCCGGAAUCACUGGGCGUAAAGGGCGCGUAGGCGGUUUUAUAAGUCAGAUGUGAAAGGUACCGGCUCAACCGGUGACGUGCAUUUGAAACUGUAAGACUUGAGUACUGGAGAGGCAAGUGGAAUUCCUAGUGUAGCGGUGAAAUGCGUAGAUAUUAGGAGGAACACCGGUGGCGAAGGCGGCUUGCUGGACAGAUACUGACGCUGAGGUGCGAAAGCGUGGGGAGCGAACAG
Molecule: ribosomal RNA, 251 nt
Filed under: uncultured prokaryote
Description: partial 16S rRNA
Rfam family: Bacterial small subunit ribosomal RNA
Source: RNAcentral